RNAcentral lists this small nucleolar RNA (130 nucleotides) under Castor canadensis (American beaver). RNAcentral describes it as "Small nucleolar RNA SNORA51 (ENSCCNG00000010700.1)". It matches the Rfam family "Small nucleolar RNA SNORA51". From Rfam's summary of the family: ACA51 is a member of the H/ACA class of snoRNA that guide the sites of modification of uridines to pseudouridines. The record is from Rfam by way of RNAcentral. Lineage: Eukaryota; Metazoa; Chordata; Mammalia; Rodentia; Castoridae.
GACCUCCUGGUGCUUACCACAGGCUCUGUUCUUACAGACUGUAUAGGAAAAGGAGGUGAAGUAAACCUCUCCCACAUAUGCCUCAGCCCAGGCUCUGUGCCUGGUCUGUAUUGUGAAUGAGGAGACAUGG